Long non-coding RNA from Ictalurus punctatus (channel catfish), 2777 nucleotides. The record is from Ensembl. Lineage: Eukaryota; Metazoa; Chordata; Actinopteri; Siluriformes; Ictaluridae.
GCUGACACAAGGCUUCCAGCCAGAAGUUUAAUCAAAAAUGACAUCAAACGCCGAAACAAACCUCUGUUUUGUCUCCUGGAACACAAAUGGUAUUAAAGAAAAGAUUGUAGAAAUAUUGGACGUUCUCUGUAACCUUCAAGCUGAUAUUGUUUUUCUACAAGAAACACAUGUUGGGCCAACAACAAAAUGUCUCCAAGCCAUUAAUAAGGCUAAAAACUGGAAAGUCUACUUUACUGAAUACAGUUCUCAAAGCAAAGGAGUUGCAAUACUUAUAAGAGACUCUGUACAGUUUGAAUACAUAUGCCAUGAUGUGGAUAGCAGUGGAGGCUACAUUGUGCUCUUCUGUCAUCUGUAUGGUGAACUGUACACUCUUGUUAACGUAUACAAGCAUAAGAAAGACAAAGUUGUCUUGAAUAGUCUGAAGGACUAUUUGAUGGAGAGAGCUGAGGGGGUGCUAGUGGUUGGAGGUGAUUUCAAUUCACUUUUAGAUCCCAGAGUAGAUCGCAAUCCUCCAAAGUCAAGAGAAUCACCAUCAAAAGUUUUAGAAGACUUUAUUGCAUCACUGAACCUCAGAGACACCUGGUCAAACAAACAUACUGAUAAUGAUGCAGAGAGAUUUACAUUCAAAUAUCCUUGUGGUUAUUCCAGAAUAGACAUGUUUUUCCUGCAAAAUGCCACAAUAAAUCAAGUACUUAGCAUUACAGUUGAAAAAGGUUUGGAGGGGCAAAAAAUGGAUCAUUUCCCUCUUGUCCUAAAACUCCCCACAAGGUUAAGGACAUAUGAAUACAAUCCUGACAGGUGCCAAGGGAAGAUUAGUCUUAAAGAAAUACUGAGUGCUAUAAAGUAUUUAACUGACAAAGAAGAACACAGACCAAAUAUGAAUGAUGAGAAGGACUACAAAACAAAAUGCCGUACACUGAAGAUUAAGUACAAUAAAAUAUUAAAUACACUGAAGGUACCUAAAAAUUAUAAACCUUCAGGAGACAACAACAUGGAAUAUUUGAUAUUUUCAGAAAUUUUGGCCAAGCGCCUCUUGCCAUUCAGUUCAUGUGAAACUGAUAACUGUGCCACUGUGAACAUUGAGAGCCCACAGGAAAUCAGGUGGUCUUACCUGAAGACAAUAUUUGAUAAGAUAGAUUAUUGUUAUUAUAAAGAGAAAGACCCAAAACAGGCCCCGUUUGCCCCCCCACCAGACCUCCGCAUUCUGGAUCGUCUUCUUCCUAAAGUCCAAAACUCUACUGAGGAUCUCAGAGUUUUACAGCCUGACUGUCCACUAGCCAAUGCUAUUCUCAAUCUGGCAAAUAAACAGCUGGUUGAUAUGCUUCAGUUGUUCCAGAAUGAUUCAGGACUGAAGUUAAAUACUGUACUUCAUGGACUCAAACAAACACACACACACAAAUAAGUCACUUUGAGCCUAAAUAAUUGAAGAACUUUUAAAGGGCCUUUAACAGCAAUUAGAACAUUAAGCACAGGACAGGUUGAGAAGUUUUAUUCCCCCUCUACAGCAGCUACAUCACAAAUUGUGCUACAACCUCUCUAUAAACAUCAGAGGUACACAUCUAUUUUUAUGUCCAGAUGAAAAAAACAAAACAAAACAAUACUUAUGCUGGCUUUAUCUCUUAUGCAUUACUUUAUUAUAUUUAAUUAUGAUUGCUAUUAUGAUUUUGUUGAUAGUAGCACAGUGGGUAAUCACUGUCCAUCACUAGUCCGAAUUAAAAUAGAUUCAGAAAAUAUCAGGGAUUUCAGGCACUAUCUACAGUUACUUUGAUUUGCUUAGAUUGGUUUAGCUUUGCUUCACGAGCUGGGAAUAUUGUAUUCAUUUCUAAGUUGUUAGGGUGUAUUUGUACACGUAAAAUGAAACUUUUAUUUAAAAUGUUUAAAAUUUGUAUAGGAUAUAAGUUUUGUAAUUAAUUUUGUUGUUGAGUUUUGUAAAUUAUUACAGCAAUGGUGCAGUGCUUUGUGCAAUCACAUUAUAUAUACAUUAACAGUGUCUUUCUUUUUUUUGCCUUCUUUUUUUUUUGCCUUUGUCAAGAAUAAUGCUACAUUCAUGUUUACUGUGUUUAUGAGAUACUUAUAUUUGAAAAAAAAGGCAUCCUUAAUAUGUAAUAUUUCUUUCUUGGAGAUGUUUGGCUAUCCUAAUAGACAUUAUGGAAGUUUGUACAGAUGUGCAUCAUGUUUGCUUGGUUGUGUAUUAAUCUGUUACUUCCAUCCCAGCUUUAAUUGAAGACUUUCUGCUGCAAGGCAUUCACCACUAAGUAUUAUUUAGAAGCUUUUACGGCAUCUCUGAAUCUUAGAGACACCAUGCCUUCACUUUACUGAUGAGGGCUUUACACAGUUUCACAACAAGUCAUUCCUGGAUAAACUUUAGACACAAUGGGAAAAUACAAACUACAGAGCUAUAGAGUUAAACUACAGAAAGUUUUUGAUAAAUGUUCUCUUGUACUAAAAGAGCAAAUACAUUUAAAACAGAACAAAACAAAAAACUCUGGAGAGAGAUACAGACACAGAGUGAAAUAAAAAUGUCCACUGAUGAUGUCAUUAAAUCUACUGUAGUAACGGUUUCGAACUAGGAAGUGAAACGUUUAUGUGGUGAACACAGACGAGAGGAGUGAUACACACAGUGAAACAUUCCAGUGUGGUUAUAGGAAAUAUAUUCGCUCUUGGAAUGCCGCACGACCAAUCAGAUUAGUGGAACUAACUGUUGUAUAAAGGUUCAUAAUCUAUCAGCAUACAUGCUUCUCUACUUCCUGUGUCUGUUAGCACAACAUUAAUGGAAU